AUUGAACGCUGGCGGCAGGCCUAACACAUGCAAGUCGAGCGAGCGGCGGACGGGGGAGUAAUGUAUGGGGACUGCCCGAUAGAGGGGGGUAACUACUGGAACCGGUAGCUAAUUCCGCAUACUAUCGGAUAACCCAUAUGGGAUUAGCUAGUAGGUGAGGUAAUGGCUAACCUGGGCGACGAUCCCUAGCUGGUCUGAGAGGAUGAUCAGCAAAAUGGGGACUGAGACACGGCCCAGACUCCUACGGAGGCAGCAGUGGGGAAGAGUGCACAAUGGGCGCAAGCCUGAUGCAGCUAUGCCGCGUGGAUGAAGAAGGCCCUAGGGUUGUAAAGUACCUUCAGUCGGGAGGCGUUACCGACAGAAGAAGCACCGGCUAACUCCGUGCCAGCAGCCGCGGUAAUAC
RNAcentral lists this ribosomal RNA (403 nucleotides) under uncultured bacterium. RNAcentral describes it as "partial 16S ribosomal RNA". It matches the Rfam family "Bacterial small subunit ribosomal RNA", at positions 29 to 526 of the family's 1533-position model. The record is from RNAcentral.